This is a small nuclear RNA of Camelus dromedarius (Arabian camel), 106 nucleotides long. NCBI's taxonomy places the organism in Eukaryota, Metazoa, Chordata, Mammalia, Artiodactyla, Camelidae. The record is from Ensembl.
GUGCUGGCUUCGGCAGCACAUAUACUAAAAUUGGAACAUACAGAGAAGAUUAGCAUGACCCCUGUGCAGGGAUGACAUGCAAAUUCAUGAAGUGCUCCAUACUAAA